GAUCAUGGCUCAGAACGAACGCUGGCGGCAUGGAUUAGGCAUGCAAGUCGAACGAAGCAGCAAUGCUUAGUGGCGCAAGGGUGAGGAACACGUGAGUGACCUACCCGCAAGUUUGGAACAGCUCCUGGAAACGGGAAUUAAUACCGGAUGUGAUCAAUGAGCUGCAUGGUUUAUUGAUUAAAGCAGUAAUGCGCUUGCGGAUGGGCUCGCGUCCCAUUAGCUAGUUGGUGAGGUAACGGCCCACCAAGGCCAUGAUGGGUAGCUGGUCUGAGAGGACGACCAGCCACACUGGGACUGAGAACUGCCCAGACUCCUACGGGAGGCUGCAGUCGAGAAUUUUGGGCAAUGGACGAAAGUCUGACCCAGCAAUGCCGCGUGCGGGAUGAAGGUCUUCGGAUUGUAAACCGCUGUUUGGAGGGACGAAAAUUGACGGUACUUCCAGAGGAAGCCACGGCUAACUACGUGCCAGCCGCCGC
RNAcentral lists this ribosomal RNA (476 nucleotides) under uncultured bacterium. RNAcentral describes it as "bacterial SSU rRNA". It matches the Rfam family "Bacterial small subunit ribosomal RNA", at positions 15 to 518 of the family's 1533-position model. The record is from RNAcentral.